CCACCCCUUCGCCUGAGACAACGAAGCUCUUUCUGGUGAGUUCUUAAGAGCCCUGGGUUUCUUUCGCAGAGAUGCCCUACGCCCUCUCUUCCCUGCACCUCGAAUCUCUCUUGCAGUGUAUCUCUAACCCUGCGAUAGCCCGAGGCUAACCUCGGGCCUCUGUUGGUUUGCAAGCAGCAAACCCUGAGCUCUGACACUCCACUCCCACACCGGACUCCUUCCUCUGCCCCCUGCACACUCUCUUGCCCACCUUAAAGGACUCCUCUCUCUGCCGCUACAUCUCUGCACUCUGUCCCCAGGACAGAUUGUCCCAUUCUCACCCAGUCCUCUGCGGAGGGGCCCUGAUUCCUCCUCCCUUUAACUCUCCUUCUAUUGUCAGGCUACCUGCUACUCCUGCAGCAUCAGCACAAAGGGGAAGGCUUGCCUCACCUUUCCCACCAGCCUCCCCCAUCUGCAGCCUGGGCCCCCCCUGCCCUCGGGGCACUGGAUUCAGGCUUCUCCUUUACACAUAGCACUUUGAGUCACAGUUAGCUCCCUUGCCCCUGGCUCAAGGAAGAGCUUUGGAAAAGAUGAGGACUGGGCGUUUUAGAUCUAUGGGGUUUCCAGCUCCACUUAGCAUCUAUUUCUUUAACAUGCAUUUGAACAGACAUUGAAUGAAGUUGAGAUGGUUGAUCCUGGAGACAAGAGUCACCCCUAAUGGUGGACUGGACUGUCACGUGCCAGCCACCAAGAGGAAAGCCAGAAGGGGAUUUACCUGUCAUAAGUGGGGUAUGGGUGUGGGAGGGCAAGCAACCCCGCACUGUAUGUCUCUUCUGAAUGGGAAGAAGCCCCUGUGAACCUUCCCCAGGGCUCGCUUGACAAGCCCCCCCCCCAUCUUAUUCCUUGUCGUUCAUUUUACCGAGCUCCAACUCUAUGUUGAAAGCUAAUGGGGAAACUGAGCCACAGGUCAAGCUGCUUACCCGAGAUCCCCCAGGGGGUCAGUGGAAGAGCUGGAAGACCGAGCUCACUCCACGGCCCCCACUCUUUACCUCUAUGCCAGAUGUUUGACAUGGAGGGAAGAGCUACGCAUUCCCUGGGUUUUGUCCAGCUUGGAAUCGGCCGGGAAUCUGACCUCCCAGCAGGUGGAGUCCACCAGCUUUGGGAGCAGCAGAGGUAA
Molecule: long non-coding RNA, 1156 nt
Filed under: Canis lupus familiaris (dog)
Lineage: Eukaryota; Metazoa; Chordata; Mammalia; Carnivora; Canidae
Description: lncRNA (ENSCAFG00040013664.1)
Source: RNAcentral